Molecule: long non-coding RNA, 543 nt
Filed under: Felis catus (domestic cat)
Lineage: Eukaryota; Metazoa; Chordata; Mammalia; Carnivora; Felidae
Description: lncRNA (ENSFCAG00000041466.2)
Source: RNAcentral
UUUUCACGCUGGGAUCUGUCUGUGGGUGACCUCUGAGUACAUUUGCUGGAGGCAAAGACUUCCAUUUUCUUUGCCAAUUGGUAACCAGAGAAGGAUGUGGAUAUCGCUCAAAGAGAAAAAAUGCCCAAGCUCUGCAUCAAAGGCAAGCUGCCGACUCUAAGGGAAGGAUGUGGUACAAGAGCAAGCCAAGUGUUGAUUAUAAGAAAAGGGGAAGGCGUCCAGCUAGUUAAUGAAACAACCUGCUAACAGUUUCCAGUUGGAAAGAGUGAUCAAGGACUUUUCCUUCAGACAAACAGCAUCAUUUGAUUGCUCUCACUCCUUGAUCAUCAGAAGAUGAUGAUGAAGUGGAUGCUGUUCUCAUUAUUCCUGCCUCAGGAUGUGGUGGACCACCAUCUGCAGAUGCCGUUCCUUAUUCCAGCAAGGCAGUCGUGUCUUCAAAAUUGUUUCUUCUUCUUCAGAAAGUCACCUACUCCUUCAGUGAUCAAGUUCCCGCCCACAUGAUAAGAUUUUAGGUGAGCAACACGUACUCUUUAGACUCUUUAG